AACGGCCGCGGUAUCCUAACCGUGCGAAGGUAGCGUAAUCACUUGUUCUUUAAAUGAGGACUAGUAUGAAUGGCACCACGAGGGUUAAGCUGUCUCCUUUUUCUAAUCAGUGAAACUAAUCUCCCCGUGAAGAAGCGGGGAUUAUACUAUAAGACGAGAAGACCCUAUGGAGCUUAAAACAAAUUAACACUUGCUUCUAUCCAUUUUUACUCCUGAACUAACACAUAAAAUAUAGCAUCGUUGAUUAAUAGUUUUCGAUUGGGGUGAUCAUGGAGUAAAAACCAACCUCCACGACGAAAAGGAACACUUCCCUGAGCUAAAAGCUACAACUUUAAGCACUAAAAAAUUAACGCACUUUGACCCAAAUUUUUGAGCAACGAACCAAGUUACCCUAGGGAUAACAGCGCAAUCCAUUUCAAGAGCCCCUAUCGACAAAUGGGUUUACGACCUCGAUGUUGGAUCAGGGUAUCCCAGUGGUGCAGCCGCUACUAAAGGUUCGUUUGUUCAACGAUUAAAACCCUACGUGAUCUGAGUUCAGACCGGAGAAAUCCAGGUCAGUUUCUAUCUAUAAAGGGCUUUUUCUAGUACGAAAGGACCGAAAAAGCAUGGCCAAUGAUCAAUUAAGCCAUAUAAAUUACUCAUGUUUUCAACUCAAUUAGAAACAAACCUACCAUAAACCUCAAAAAAAGAGAAGUUAACGUAGCAUAACCUGGCCCUGCAA
This 721-nucleotide ribosomal RNA is filed under the name Boana albopunctata (spotted treefrog). RNAcentral's name for it is "partial 16S ribosomal RNA". It matches the Rfam family "Bacterial large subunit ribosomal RNA", at positions 1926 to 2925 of the family's 2925-position model. Lineage: Eukaryota; Metazoa; Chordata; Amphibia; Anura; Hylidae. The record is from RNAcentral.